Molecule: ribosomal RNA, 301 nt
Filed under: uncultured bacterium
Lineage: Bacteria
Description: partial 16S ribosomal RNA
Rfam family: Bacterial small subunit ribosomal RNA
Source: RNAcentral
CAGUAGCCGCGGGAAUACGUAGGUGGCAAGCGUUGUCCGGAAUUAUUGGGCGUAAAGCGCGCGCAGGUGGUUUAAUAAGUCUGAUGUGAAAGCCCACGGCUCAACCGUGGAGGGCCAUUGGAAACUGUUAAACUUGAGUGCAGGAGAGAAAAGUGGAAUUCCUAGUGUAGCGGUGAAAUGCGCAGAGAUUAGGAGGAACACCAGUGGCGAAGGCGGCUUUUUGGCCUGUAACUGACACUGAGGCGCGAAAGCGUGGGGAGCAAACAGGAUUAGAUACCCCUGUAGUCCCUGUCUCUUAUAC